This 497-nucleotide ribosomal RNA is filed under the name uncultured bacterium. Its description in RNAcentral is "partial 16S ribosomal RNA". It matches the Rfam family "Bacterial small subunit ribosomal RNA", at positions 28 to 507 of the family's 1533-position model. The record is from RNAcentral.
GAUGAACGCUGGCGGCGUGCCUAAUACAUGCAAGUCGAGCGAACAGACGAGGAGCUUGCUCCUCUGACGUUAGCGGCGGACGGGUGAGUAACACGUGGAUAACCUACCUAUAAGACUGGGAUAACAUCGGGAAACCGGAGCUAAUACCGGAUAAUAUAUUGAACCGCAUGGUUCAAUAGUGAAAGACGGUUUUGCUGUCACUUAUAGAUGGAUCCGCGCCGCAUUAGCUAGUUGGUAAGGUAACGGCUUACCAAGGCGACGAUGCGUAGCCGACCUGAGAGGGUGAUCGGCCACACUGGAACUGAGACACGGUCCAGACUCCUACGGGAGGCAGCAGUAGGGAAUCUUCCGCAAUGGGCGAAAGCCUGGCGGAGCAACGCCGCGUGAGUGAUGAAGGUCUUCGGAUCGUAAAACUCUGUUAUUAGGGAAGAACAAAUGUGUAAGUAACUAUGCACGUCUUGACGGUACCUAAUCAGAAAGCCACGGCUAACUACGUG